Long non-coding RNA from Haemorhous mexicanus (house finch), 4942 nucleotides. RefSeq lists it as uncharacterized. The record is from RefSeq and is a predicted model, not a curated record. NCBI's taxonomy places the organism in Eukaryota, Metazoa, Chordata, Aves, Passeriformes, Fringillidae. The transcript has 5 exons.
AGUUCUUUUGGAUGGGGUGUUCCUCACUUUCAGGGCGGCUUUACAGUCCACAGUCACGAAAGACUCUAACUCAGUUGCUCUAAGCCAUGCAAUCAGCCCUUCUAGAAAAUUUCCAAGAUUAAGAGGACUGCUCUCCGGCUGGAACAGCAGCCGGGGCCUGCUUUCCAAACUCACAAAAGAGAACACCACACACAUAGAAAAUGUGACGGGUCUGACCGGCCAGAAACGUCUUCUCGCCCUCUGAGACAGCUUCUCCAAUAACGAAGGAAAGCCCAAGCACCCGCGGCAGCCCCACGGCCCGGCACCAGAGCCAGCCCCGCCGUGCUGUUCCCACGCACCGCCGGGACGGGCGGGCAGCGCCGGCAGGCUCGGGACAGGACGGGACGGGACGGCGGCUCCUUCGCGCCGGGUCGGGCAGGGGUAAAUCGCUCUUCUUUCUGAUAGCUGGGGAACCAGAACUCACACGAAGUUCCCCUUUUUUUCAGUCACCCCCUCCCCAGGUGUAUGCUUCUGUUUAUUAUUACGACUACGACUAUUUCUGAACAGGAGAAGCGGAGGUGUCCGGGUCAGAGCGACAGCGGGUGACCGGAGCGGCGCUUACUCGGGAACCCCGCGGCUUUUCCCCGCCGUCCCGGUACAGGGGAGCCGAGAGCGGGUGUGCUGGGCUGAGCCGGGGAGUGCUCUCCGGGGAGGGACUGGGAAACGUGGGAAGGGGGGAAGAAGAAAAAAGAAACACUAAAGAAGAGAAGCACAACCGAUGAGAUGUGCCAAGGCUUAUUCCCUUUUAUUUCCUCCACCCCCACAAAAGAAAAUAAGCCAAGAAUCAGGAAGUCAGGGCUGCGUGAUCGCUGCUACAGGUUUGGUUUUCUCCCCAUUUCUCGCCUCUCUCUGUUUUGAGGGUGGGUUUUUUGUUUUGAUUUGUUUUUUGUUUUUUUGUUUGUUUUUUUUUUUUCUUAGGGAAAUAAGUAGUUGGGACUUUCCCUCCGCCUCUCCCCACGGGAGGCCGCGGCACGCAGCCGCCCGCAGCUCCGGCUCCCUGGUCUCCCGGUACGCAGCCGGCAAAGGGCGGCGGGACCCCCGCACGCUCGCCCCCCGGUCCCCUACCUUUCUUUCCCUCCACGGCGAGGCAGAGAGCGAGGCGCCCCAGCAGCAGCACCAGGACAGCGGCGCCGCGGGGCCCGGCGGCAGCGACGGGGCUGCGGCCGCCCAUGCCGCGGGACCGCCGCUCCUUCGGCGGAGUGCCUGGGGGGUCGGACGGGACGGGCGCACGGAUGGUUCCGCGGAGCCGCUCCUGCUCCCUCAGCUCUUCUCCCGCGGCAGCGAUCAGCUCCUCUCCGGCGCUCUGCCCUGCGCGGCUCCGAGCAGCAUGCUGGAGGGCGGCCGUCGAGGUCUGCGCGCACACGUGCGUGCCCCGCUGCGGGCGGGCUGCUGCCUUCCUCCUCCUCUUCCUCCUCCUCCUCCUCCCGCCUCUGCUCCUCCUGCUGCAGGCGGCGGCGGAUGCACAGGGGUUGCGGAGCGGCUGGAGCCGGCUGUGGGACGGGGUGCGCCCGGCUGAGCUCUCCACUCGGUCGCCGAGCGCAGGGGCUCCCUCUGGGGACGCCAAGGAGGAGGAGGAUUGGGAGGGAGCAAGGAGCAGAGGGGAGGAGAAACCGGCAGUGCCGUCCCCGCCGAGGUGGAGAAGGGGCGGGCCCCCCACCUGUCCAGGAAUAUAGGAUGAGAGGAGGCUGUUUCUCUGGAAAGUGGGAGAAAGCACUGUCUUGUCUCUCAGGUGUUUGUAGGGCCGAGGCAUCUAUGGCACAGAGAGAGUGAGGCAAGCUGGCAGCCCUGAGUAAAGACACAAAGAAUGUGAAAGUUUUCUGCAGCAUGUUGGAGACUGUCAACAAAUGUGACUAAGCAGAAGAGCAUCUUCCAGAAGUCAGAGAUGUCACAAAGUGCUUGAAUUUCCAGCAAUGGCAUCUUUCUUUUCUAAUGAGGAGGAGCCAAUGUAAAUGCCCCUGAGGAAGGCCUUAGGGCAGGUUGACCAACACAGCAAGUUACCACUGAGAUUUGGGUAAAUGACUUGGUGUUGGAGGAUUGGAUUUGUGAAGUAAAACAGCUUCAACAUAUGUCCUGUCAUCAUCACUGCAUGUAUUUCUGGGCAUUUCAGUUCAGACUGCUCCUUGUGAUCCUGUAGACUGAAUAUCUACUACUCAUUGGGGUAUGCUACAUAUGCCCCUGGAGCACAUCUUUCAGCUUAGCUCUUUUUGGAAGAAACAGGUUUUGCACCCAAAGCCCAUGCCAUGAUGAGGGUCAGCCUCAGAAGCACACUCCUGAUCCAUACCAAAAUGCUUUUACAAAUGCUUGCCCAAAAUCUGCAGUUUCCAGAAAAAAAAAGAGAAGCAAUAAAAUAUUUUUGUUCCUACAGAAGUAAGAAUUUUAAUCUUGAGACGGCAAGACAAGACCUAGAACUUCAGUCUUUGAGGUUUCCAAACUGGGCUGACCCCAAACCCAGAACAUAAACAGACCCAGUCUUUUAUGGGUUACCUAGGAAACCGCUUGAUAUGAAAAUGGCAAUGGCUUGAGAAUGCCAAGCACUUCCCAUUACUCGGUGGUACUGCAAGGUAAACAGCAUACAUAGGACUUGUAAUGAAAAGAACAGGCUAAAAGCAGCCAGGCAGCUCUUCAGGGGGCCAUUACAGUGGCACACAUCAGCAGGCAGGCACGGUGGGAGCAAGGGCUAGCCACUGCAUCCACAGAAAUAAGGUGCUGCAACUGAGGACGAAGUUAAUUAGUCCACAAACCAGAUAAUCAAGAGCUGACAUCCCAUUUUAGGUGCUGUCUAUACAUGGCAACAAAAAGGGGUUGUGAGGGGCCCCCUGAAUGCUCUGAGCUUUUUCUUCCUUCCUAUUUAUAGCAUGGUCCCCAACACACCUCAGGAUAUCUAUUUGAUCUCAGCUCUCCAGUAUUUACUUCUUGAGCUCCCAACGGCUUUGAUGGCAGUACUCCCUUUCUGUUCAGACAGAUGAGCAAUUCUUUGGGCAUUUCAGUAAACCUUCCAGAGGUAAUUAAGAUAUGGCUGUCUCUGUAGCUUCCUCUUCUCCAAACUCAGAGUCAGUCCUUAAAAUCCUCACGUGACUUGACAGAGAGAGGAUGUGAACCUAUAAUCAAUUCCGUGUGCACACUCCCACCUCCCUCAGACCCCCAGCUACCAGUGUGAGAUAUCCUGCACUGCUGGCAAGAACACAAUAUCCUGGUGUAAUAGAAAGCAUACCAUAAAAGAGCCCAGGGAUAUAUGAGGAUAAAGAGACCUGCCUCCUGCCAAUUUUUUUUCUGAAACAGUUUAGAUUGGAUAGGCUACUUCACAUUCUCCAUCAUCCCGUCUUCAUAUGCAGCUCCCCAAACUUACAAGCUCCUCGUCAUUUGAUUUCAUGCAUUACUUCCUUUCCCAGCCAUUUCUGCAGAACUAAAGACCCAAUUCACUUUAAAAAAUGAGACCCAGUGCAAGGCAUUAACUUUUCCAGACCUGCUUCCUUCCUGACCUCACUGCUUAUUUGACUGUAAAACAACUGAUGCUGCAGUUUUCAAAGAGGCGAGUGUGGACCACAAUUUCUAUUCCCAGUCUGUGGGAGUGGGAAAGUGACUUUGGCAUAAAUACAUGCAAUUUGAUACUUUAAAUAUAUUUUAAACCAGCUCCUUUUCCUUAAGCCUUAUUUCCUCUGAAGAUAGAAAUUUAUCACCAAUGACUCAAGCUUCCUAAAGGUUUUAUCAGUUUAAACCUCAAUAAUGUUCUUCCUUCAUGGAUUUAUGCUACAUUGCCUAGCUCUUGCUUAUCCAGCCAGCACUUGCUCAUGCAACCCAAUACUUUGGCUUUUCUGGCUUAUUUGUGUGACUGCUUUUUCUUUGUCUGCCUUGCCCAAUCUAUUAAUUUGAGAUGAGGGUCUUGUGGAAAUGAAUAAGUCUGCAAAUAGGUGAGCUAUUUAAAAUCUUACCUGUUUUCUACAUGGCUGCAGAAUACAGAAGUGCUUCUCCUACACGGAGCAGGAAACAAAUUCCUGGAGCUCCCAGCGGUGGAACUAUUGGAGACUGUUUUUCUACAAAUGAUUUUCCUUUCUCCUUUUGUUGCCUGUCAUCUGCAGUACAUUCCUGUGCCCUCCAACACCAGCUGGAUUAGAGGCAGCUGGUAUGGAGGUGUAUCCGUGGUGAUUGGCCACAUGGGCUGAUGGUGAUACAACAGCUUCAGCAUCUCCUCUGUACCUACCACCUGAUUUCACAAGGCUUGGGAGGUCCUUGCUCUUCCAUGGUAUUUGGUUAAAAUUAGUUAACAGGAAUGGGGAUCAAUAGAUGGAAUGACUGCAUGAAUCUCUCUUCCAAACUGAAAAAUCGGGGGCUGGCAAGAAGCUGUGGUUGUGUGACAUGAAACAGCUGAAAUGCAUCCUUGAUGUCCUUUCUAGCGCCUCAGGAAUAAUGACAGGUUGAGAGAGUGCAACUCUGUGACCUUAUUUGAAUUGGAGCACACUGCAGUGUGUCUGAACAGCUCUCUCCAGGCUUUUUUUGGUAAGUUUAAAGAGACUGUAUCAGGACAUCAGUGUGGUCCAAGGUUACCAGAGUUGUUACGGCUCAUGGUGGAGGCACAUGUGCUCCAUGAUUGUGAUGUUUGUCAUUCACAGAUCUGCUCUUGACCUUUUUUUUAAUCUCUGCAUCUCACCCUGAAGCUAACAUAAAGUGCUACAGAAGCCAGGUCUACUUGAGCAAGCCCACACAGAAGUCAGAGGGCCUCCUUGGAGAGUCGGCUGCUAGCUCACAAGGACUUCCCUCAGGAAAGGAAAACAAGGAAAUUGUGUUUGUUUUGCACUUUCUCAAGAACCAGAAGACUGACCAUAAGUGAACAGAAGUCUUGUCUGAGUAUGGAGAAGGAAGUAAGGGGAAAUAAGAAUUACAAUGAAAAAGUCUCAAAACCUCACAA